CGCAGGCGGUCUGUUAAGUCAGAUGUGAAAUACACGGGCUUAACCUGGGAACUGCAUUUGAAACUGGCAGGCUUGAGUCUUGUAGAGGGGGGUAGAAUUCCAGGUGUAGCGGUGAAAUGCGUAGAGAUCUGGAGGAAUACCGGUGGCGAAGGCGGCCCCCUGGACAAAGACUGACGCUCAGGUGCGAAAGCGUGGGGAGCAAACAGGAUUAGAUACCCUGGUAGUCCACGCCGUAAACGAUGUCGACUUGGAGGUUGUUCCCUUGAGGAGUGGCUUCCGGAGCUAACGCGUUAAGUCGACCGCCUGGGGAGUACGGCCGCAAGGUUAAAACUCAAAUGAAUUGACGGGGGCCCGCACAAGCGGUGGAGCAUGUGGUUUAAUUCGAUGCAACGCGAAGAACCUUACCUACUCUUGACAUCCAACGAACUUAGCAGAGAUGCUUUGGUGCCUUCGGGAACCCUGAGACAGGUGCUGCAUGGCUGUCGUCAGCUCGUGUUGUGA
This 501-nucleotide ribosomal RNA is filed under the name Pantoea agglomerans. RNAcentral describes it as "bacterial SSU rRNA". It matches the Rfam family "Bacterial small subunit ribosomal RNA", at positions 570 to 1070 of the family's 1533-position model. The record is from RNAcentral. Lineage: Bacteria; Pseudomonadati; Pseudomonadota; Gammaproteobacteria; Enterobacterales; Erwiniaceae.